AUACUCUGGUUUCUCUUCAGAUCCAAUAAAUCUUUCGCCUUUUACUCAAGAUUUCCGUGGGGAGAAACAAAUCCGAGUUGUUACCCAAUUUUUUGAGACCUUGUUCUUACAAGGUC
This 116-nucleotide small nuclear RNA is filed under the name Procavia capensis (Cape rock hyrax). Its description in RNAcentral is "U5 spliceosomal RNA (ENSPCAG00000019888.1)". It matches the Rfam family "U5 spliceosomal RNA". From Rfam's summary of the family: U5 RNA is a component of both types of known spliceosome. The precise function of this molecule is unknown, though it is known that the 5' loop is required for splice site selection and p220 binding, and that both the 3' stem-loop and the Sm site are important for Sm protein binding and cap methylation. Lineage: Eukaryota; Metazoa; Chordata; Mammalia; Hyracoidea; Procaviidae. The record is from RNAcentral.